GGACGUGAGGGUGAUCUGGCUGUGACAUCUGUCACCCCAUUGAUUGCCAGGGUUGAUUUGGCUGAUCUGGCUGGCUAGGUGGGUGUCCUCUUCCUCCCUCAUUGCUCCAUGUGUAUCCCUCCCGAAGCUGUACUCUCAUUGAGGACCGUUCUUUGGUCAAGGGUAUAUAAGUAGCUGCGCUCCCCUGCUAGAACCUCCAAACACGCUCUCAACAAACUUAUUGUUGAUUACACGUAUAGUGUAGUUCCUUUCUGUGUGGUUUACAUUUUCACUGUUAAUGGUCUUUUGAUGAAUAGAAGUCCUUCUAA
Molecule: small nuclear RNA, 308 nt
Filed under: Prolemur simus (greater bamboo lemur)
Lineage: Eukaryota; Metazoa; Chordata; Mammalia; Primates; Lemuridae
Description: 7SK RNA (ENSPSMG00000019567.1)
Rfam family: 7SK RNA
About the family: 7SK was discovered as an abundant small nuclear RNA in the mid-70s but a possible function has only recently been suggested.
Source: Rfam by way of RNAcentral